This 392-nucleotide ribosomal RNA is filed under the name uncultured euryarchaeote. RNAcentral describes it as "bacterial SSU rRNA". It matches the Rfam family "Archaeal small subunit ribosomal RNA", at positions 347 to 738 of the family's 1478-position model. The record is from RNAcentral. Lineage: Archaea; Methanobacteriati; Methanobacteriota.
CCUUUACAAUGUGCGAAAGCAUGAUAAGGGAACUCCGAGUGCCAGUAUCUAAUACUGGCUGUCCUUGUGCCUAAAACGCACAAGAUAGCAAGGGCCGGGUAAGACCGGCGCCAGCCGCCGCGGUAACACCGGCGGCCCGAGUGGUAGCCGCUAUUAUUGGGUCUAAAGGGUCCGUAGCCGGUUCGAUAAGUCUUCUGGGAAAUCUGGUUGCUUAACAAUCAGACUGCCAAGGGAUACUGUCGAACUUGAGACCGGGAGAGGUAAGAGGUACUUCAGGGGUAGGAGUGAAAUCUUGUAAUCCCUGGGGGACCAUCUGUGGCGAAGGCGUCUUACCAGAACGGGUCUGACGGUGAGGGACGAAAGCUGGGGGCGCAAACCGGGAUUAGAUACCC